Molecule: unclassified non-coding RNA, 345 nt
Filed under: soil metagenome
Description: partial contains 5.8S ribosomal RNA, internal transcribed spacer 2, and large subunit ribosomal RNA
Rfam family: 5.8S ribosomal RNA (bases 1-120)
Source: RNAcentral
GAUGAAGAACGUAGCGAAAUGCGAUACGUAAUGUGAAUUGCAGAAUUCAGUGAAUCAUCGAGUCUUUGAACGCACAUUGCGCCCCCUGGUAUUCCGGGGGGCAUGCCUGUCCGAGCAUCAUUGCUGCCCUCAAGCACGGCUUGUGUGUUGGGCCUCCGUCCUCCUCCCGGGGGACGGGCCCGAAAGGCAGCGGCGGCACCGCGUCCGGUCCUCGAGCGUAUGGGGCUUCGUCACCCGCUCUUGUAGGCCCGGCCGGCGCUUGCCGACACAUCAAUCUUUUUUCCAGGUUGACCUCGGAUCAGGUAGGGAUACCCGCUGAACUUAAGCAUAUCAAUAAGCGGACGA